GUUUGUAUGUUGCACUGUAUCUUGCACUGUUGAUCAUACACCCCUUUUCCAGGCAGUCUUCCAGUAUAGGCCCUUUUGAAUCCCAAAAAAGGGUUAGCAUCAACUUUUCUGCGGAAGAGUGAGUCUUGAAUUACUUUGUCACUGGUGAGCCAGGAUGUUUCCAC
Octopus sinensis (East Asian common octopus) is the source of this 164-nucleotide long non-coding RNA. RefSeq lists it as uncharacterized. The transcript has 3 exons. Lineage: Eukaryota; Metazoa; Mollusca; Cephalopoda; Octopoda; Octopodidae. The record is from RefSeq and is a predicted model, not a curated record.